RNAcentral lists this transfer RNA (76 nucleotides) under Candidatus Oleimmundimicrobium sp. RNAcentral's name for it is "tRNA-Asn". It matches the Rfam family "tRNA". Rfam says of the family: Transfer RNA (tRNA) molecules are approximately 80 nucleotides in length. Their secondary structure includes four short double-helical elements and three loops (D, anti-codon, and T loops). The record is from RNAcentral. Lineage: Bacteria; Bacillati; Actinomycetota; Candidatus Aquicultoria; Candidatus Subteraquimicrobiales; Candidatus Oleimmundimicrobiaceae.
UCCUCGGUAGCUCAACAGGUAGAGCGGGUGGCUGUUAACCACUAGGUCGUAGGUUCGAAUCCUACCCGAGGAGCCA